Non-coding RNA from Malus domestica (apple), 554 nucleotides. The record is from RefSeq and is a predicted model, not a curated record. Lineage: Eukaryota; Viridiplantae; Streptophyta; Magnoliopsida; Rosales; Rosaceae.
CUCUAUCAAAAAAUGGGAAAACGAGGUUUUUUUCAAUCCAAACAAACGAUACAUAACAAAAGUCACGUGCUUUAAUUCUCUCAUUGGUGAGAGUUCUUUCUCUCUUCUCUCAGAGUAUUUCUCACUGUCUGUGAGCCUUUCAAUCUUGGGUUUUUUCGGUGGCACCGGCCCUAGCUUUGGCUAGGGUCGGCUGUCGUGUCUUUUCUUUUUUUCUUUUCCUUCUUCUCUCCCUGCCUCUACUGUUAUUUCUUCUCAAUUUUCUCUCGAGUCUCCCUUGUUCCUCUACUCUUGAAGCAACUUGUGGUUGGAGGUGGCAUCUGUGGAGGCGUUACUGGACGGAGGAUGGGAAUCGGCCGUUGGACCUAUUUCAAAGGAUGGAGAUGGCGGUGGAAGCUUUUGGUGGAAGCUGUGUAGUUUUUGGGCCUUUCUGUUGUUGUUUCCCUUAGCUUUAGGCCUUUUUUGGUUGUAUUUAAAGUAUGUGUUGGACCUUUGUUGUAAAGUGUAGUUUUUGUAAUAAAUUUUCUUUUACCCAAAAAAAAAAAAAAAACGGGUAA